UAGGGAAUCUUCGGCAAUGGACGAAAGUCUGACCGAGCAACGCCGCGUGAGUGAAGAAGGUUUUCGGAUCGUAAAACUCUGUUGUUAGAGAAGAACAAGGACGUUAGUAACUGAACGUCCCCUGACGGUAUCUAACCAGAAAGCCACGGCUAACUACGUGCCAGCAGCCGCGGUAAUACGUAGGUGGCAAGCGUUGUCCGGAUCUAUUAGGCGUAAAGCGAGCGCAGGCGGUUUCUUAAGUCUGAUGUGAAAGCCCCCGGCUCAACCGGGGAGGGUCAUUGGAAACUGGGAGACUUGAGUGCAGAAGAGGAGAGUGGAAUUCCAUGUGUAGCGGUGAAAUGCGUAGAUAUAUGGAGGAACACCAGUGGCGAAGGCGGCUCUCUGGUCUGUAACUGACGCUGAGGCUCGAAAGCGUGGGGAGCAAACAGG
RNAcentral lists this ribosomal RNA (429 nucleotides) under Chloroflexota bacterium. RNAcentral describes it as "Chloroflexi bacterium partial 16S ribosomal RNA". It matches the Rfam family "Bacterial small subunit ribosomal RNA", at positions 355 to 776 of the family's 1533-position model. The record is from RNAcentral. Lineage: Bacteria; Bacillati; Chloroflexota.